UCGCGCGAACGGAUUAGGAGCUUGCUCCUAUGAAGUUAGCGGCGGACGGGUGAGUAACAUGUGGGUAACCUGCCCAUAACACUGGGAUAACUCCGGGAAACCGGGGCUAAUACCGGAUAACAUUUUGAACCGCAUGGUUCGAAAUUGAAAGGCGGCUUCGGCUGUCACUUAUGGAUGGACCCGCGUCGCAUUAUCUAGUUGGUGAGGUAACGGCUCACCAAGGCAACGAUGCGUAGCCGACCUGAGAGGGUGAUCGGCCACACUGGGACUGAGACACGGCCCACACUCCUACGGGAGGCAGCAGUAGGGAAUCUUCCGCAAUGGACGAAAGUCUGACGGAGCAACGCCGCGUGAGUGAUGAAGGCUUUCGGGUCGUAAAACUCUGUUGUUAGGGAAGAACAAGUGCUAGUUGAAUAAGCUGGCACCUUGACGGUACCUAACCAGAAAGCCACGGCUAACUACGUGCCAGCAGCCGCGGUAAUACGUAGGUGGCAAGCGUUAUCCGGAAUUAUUGGGCGUAAAGCGCGCGCAGGUGGUUUCUUAAGUCUGAUGUGAAAGCCCACGGCUCAACCGUGGAGGGUCAUUGGAAACUGGGAGACUUGAGUGCAGAAGAGGAAAGUGGAAUUCCAUGUGUAGCGGUGAAAUGCGUAGAGAUAUGGAGGAACACCAGUGGCGAACGCGACUUUCUGGUCUGUAACUGACACUGAGGCGCGAAAGCGUGGGGAGCACACAGGAUUAGAUACCCUGGUACUCCACGCCGUAAACGAUGAGUGCUAAGUGUUAGAGGGUUUCCGCCCUUUAGUGCUGAAUUUAACACAUUAAGCACUCCGCCUGGGGAGUACGGCCGCAGGGCUGAAACUCAAGAGAAUUGACGGGGGCCCGCACAAGCUGUGGAGCAUGUGGUUUAAUUCAAAGCAACGCAAAGAACCUUAACGGGUCUUGACAUCCUCUGACAACCCUAGAUAUAGGGCUUCUCCUUC
RNAcentral lists this ribosomal RNA (980 nucleotides) under Bacillus thuringiensis. RNAcentral's name for it is "bacterial SSU rRNA". It matches the Rfam family "Bacterial small subunit ribosomal RNA", at positions 62 to 1021 of the family's 1533-position model. The record is from RNAcentral. Lineage: Bacteria; Bacillati; Bacillota; Bacilli; Caryophanales; Bacillaceae.